CCUACGGGUGGCAGCAGUGAGGAAUAUUGGUCAAUGGCCGGAACUCUGAACCAGCCAUGCCGCGUGAAGGUCAAUGCCCUAUUGGCGUUUAACUUGUUUUUUUCGGGAGCAAUAAUGGUCACGGUUGGCCAGACUAGAGUACCGUACGAAUAAGGAUCGGCUAACUCCGGUCCAUCAGCCGCGGUAAUACGGGGGAGGCAAGCGUUAUCCGGGUUUAUUUGGGUUAAAGGGUGCGUAGGCUGGGAGGUAAGUCAGCGGGGAAAUUCCCCCGGUCAAAGGGGUGCAGUGCGAUUGAUACUGGCUUGCUGGAAUGCGGCUGAGGUGGGAGGAAUGUGUGGUGUAGCGGUGAAAUGCAUAGAUAUCACACAGAACACCGAUUGCGAAGGCAUCUCACGAAUCCGUGAUUGACGCUGAUGCACGAAGGCGUGGGUAUCAAACAGGAUUAGAUACCCGGGUAGUC
Molecule: ribosomal RNA, 460 nt
Filed under: uncultured bacterium
Lineage: Bacteria
Description: partial 16S ribosomal RNA
Rfam family: Bacterial small subunit ribosomal RNA
Source: RNAcentral